Non-coding RNA from Lonchura striata (white-rumped munia), 652 nucleotides. The record is from RefSeq and is a predicted model, not a curated record. NCBI's taxonomy places the organism in Eukaryota, Metazoa, Chordata, Aves, Passeriformes, Estrildidae.
ACGCCCAGGUUCACCAUGGCGAGGCCGCCGGGCUCGGCCCCGGGCAGGACCCGCCCCUUCCGCCGCGGCCACGGCGGAACGGGCCGGACCGUUUCGUGUGCUCCGAACCGGGACAGGCCAGCUCCUCUGCUACUGCGGACCCGACGGCACCGUCUAGUGAGAGCGGGGCGGGAGAAGGAGCAGUGUGACCGACGCGAUGAAGGUCUGGGCCAGGGAGCUCGGUGGCUGGUCGGCGCUCGGCUUUCGGUGCCCGCCGGAGGAGCUCGGCGCGAUGCUCAGCAAGAAGGCGCCAUCUGGAGUGAAUUUUGAGGACUCCUGAUGGGUGCUGUCCUGUGCCUUGAUGACAGCCCUAUGGACCCCUGUGUCUGAACAAGGAAGUGUCCCUAUUGUUCCGGACCUGCUGAGCUCCUUGACAACAGAGGCAGCAGUACCUGGCAGCCACCCCUUAGCUUUCCCCUUUGCGGGGAACAGUUGGAGCAGAGGGGACACCAGCAUGGUGGGGUUUUCCCCUGCAGCUCUUCCCUGCUGGUAGGGACUAGCUCCUGACUUCACUUACCAUGAACUGGUGGAGUUUGGAUGGAGCUUUGAUGCCGUGGAAUGGAAAGAUUACCUGUGCUUUGCGUCUUGCCUGUAAAGAUGUUUUUAGCCAGCU